UAACAAGGUCUCCGUUGGUGAACCAGCGGAGGGAUCAUUACUGAGUUUACGCUCUACAACCCUUUGUGAACAUACCUAUAACUGUUGCUUCGGCGGGUAGGGUCUCCGUGACCCUCCCGGCCUCCCGCCCCCGGGCGGGUCGGCGCCCGCCGGAGGAUAACCAAACUCUGAUUUAACGACGUUUCUUCUGAGUGGUACAAGCAAAUAAUCAAAACUUUUAACAACGGAUCUCUUGGUUCUGGCAUCGAUGAAGAACGCAGCGAAAUGCGAUAAGUAAUGUGAAUUGCAGAAUUCAGUGAAUCAUCGAAUCUUUGAACGCACAUUGCGCCCGCCAGCAUUCUGGCGGGCAUGCCUGUUCGAGCGUCAUUUCAACCCUCAAGCUCUGCUUGGUGUUGGGGCCCUACAGCUGAUGUAGGCCCUCAAAGGUAGUGGCGGACCCUCCCGGAGCCUCCUUUGCGUAGUAACUUUACGUCUCGCACUGGGAUCCGGAGGGACUCUUGCCGUAAACCCCCAAUUUUCCAAAGGUUGACCUCGGAUCAGGUAGGAAUACCCGC
RNAcentral lists this ribosomal RNA (554 nucleotides) under Camellia oleifera (tea-oil Camellia). Its description in RNAcentral is "eukaryotic LSU rRNA". The stretch from base 213 to 366 matches the Rfam family "5.8S ribosomal RNA". Lineage: Eukaryota; Viridiplantae; Streptophyta; Magnoliopsida; Ericales; Theaceae. The record is from RNAcentral.